AAAUUGAAGAGUUUGAUCAUGGCUCAGAUUGAACGCUGGCGGCAGGCCUAACACAUGCAAGUCGAACGGUAACAGGAAGCAGCUUGCUGCUUUGCUGACGAGUGGCGGACGGGUGAGUAAUGUCUGGGAAACUGCCUGAUGGAGGGGGAUAACUACUGGAAACGGUAGCUAAUACCGCAUAACGUCGCAAGACCAAAGAGGGGGACCUUCGGGCCUCUUGCCAUCGGAUGUGCCCAGAUGGGAUUAGCUAGUAGGUGGGGUAAMGGCUCACCUAGGCGACGAUCCCUAGCUGGUCUG
This 297-nucleotide ribosomal RNA is filed under the name Escherichia coli. Its description in RNAcentral is "partial 16S ribosomal RNA". It matches the Rfam family "Bacterial small subunit ribosomal RNA", at positions 1 to 294 of the family's 1533-position model. Lineage: Bacteria; Pseudomonadati; Pseudomonadota; Gammaproteobacteria; Enterobacterales; Enterobacteriaceae. The record is from RNAcentral.